RNAcentral lists this unclassified non-coding RNA (334 nucleotides) under soil metagenome. Its description in RNAcentral is "partial contains 5.8S ribosomal RNA, internal transcribed spacer 2, and large subunit ribosomal RNA". The stretch from base 1 to 120 matches the Rfam family "5.8S ribosomal RNA", at positions 35 to 154 of the family's 154-position model. The record is from RNAcentral.
GAUGAAGAACGUAGCGAAAUGCGAUACGUAAUGUGAAUUGCAGAAUUCAGUGAAUCAUCGAAUCUUUGAACGCACAUUGCGCCUGCCAGCACUCUGGCAGGCAUGCCUGUUCGAGCGUCAUUUCAACCAUCAAGCCCUAGGCUUGCGUUGGAGCCCUGCGGCUGCCGCAGGCCCCUAAAAGCAGUGGCGGGCUCGCUAUCACACCGAGUGCAGUAGAUUACUCUUCGCUCAGGGCGUUUGGCGGGUUCCAGCCGUGAAACCCCCUACUUCUCAAGGUUGACCUCGGAUCAGGUAGGAAUACCCGCUGAACUUAAGCAUAUCAAUAAGCGGAGGA